This 382-nucleotide ribosomal RNA is filed under the name uncultured eukaryote. RNAcentral's name for it is "partial 18S ribosomal RNA". It matches the Rfam family "Eukaryotic small subunit ribosomal RNA", at positions 592 to 975 of the family's 1831-position model. The record is from RNAcentral.
CAAUAGCGUAUAUUAAAGUUGUUGCAGUUAAAAAGCUCGUAGUUGGAUUUCUGGUGGGAGCGAUCGGUCUGGCGCUUAGCGCGAGUACUUGCAUCGUCUCCGGCCAUCCUUGGGGAGAGUCUGUCUGGCAUUAGGUUGUCGGGCAGAGGAUCCUCAUCGUUUACUGUGAAAAAAUUAGAGUGUUCAAAGCAGGCUUAUGCCGUUGAAUAUAUUAGCAUGGAAUAAUAAGAUAGGACUUUGGUACUAUUUUGUUGGUUUGCGAACCAAAGUAAUGAUUAAUAGGGACAGUUGGGGGUAUUCGUAUUCCGUUGUCAGAGGUGAAAUUCUUGGAUUUACGGAAGACGAACUACUGCGAAAGCAUUUACCAAGGAUGUUUNCAUUA